This 361-nucleotide unclassified non-coding RNA is filed under the name Hevea brasiliensis (rubber tree). The record is from RNAcentral. Lineage: Eukaryota; Viridiplantae; Streptophyta; Magnoliopsida; Malpighiales; Euphorbiaceae.
GAUCUAGUACCCAAAAGCGAGGAGAGCCAAAUUUGCAUAGCUGUAGGACAUGUGAAGGACAAGUGUCUAUGUGAUUCCACCUCCCCACAGAAGUCACAAAGGUGAGGAAUAUGAUGUACUCAUCCAUGGAGAAGUUCUUUGACUGGUAGGCGUUCUUUAAGAAAACUCCGUAAGAAAAUGGAGAGCUUUCUUGGUCGAUUGAGCUUCCAUACUGAUUUCCAGAAUUUUGAUAAAUUAAUCUGCGCUGAAGGACCUAGCCCUGCCCCCUGAUUUUCUCGGCUACACUUCAAGAGAUCAAUUGCCAUCUGAUAUCCAGAUUUUGGGGAAUAUACACCAUUCUGAGCAAAGUGCCAAAUAAGCU